CUGCAUUUAUUUGAUAGAUCUGCAGCAGUUGCUUGCCUGCUGCUAAGGUUGCCAUUAUAGAUGCAAGAAAAAUUUGUCCUUGCACUUUCUGUGUCUCUGAUGUAACUGAAUCAUCAUUCAGCUCCGACUGAAUAGGGGAAUAGGGGA
This 147-nucleotide small nucleolar RNA is filed under the name Sorex araneus (European shrew). RNAcentral's name for it is "Small nucleolar RNA SNORA31 (ENSSARG00000020250.1)". The record is from RNAcentral. Lineage: Eukaryota; Metazoa; Chordata; Mammalia; Eulipotyphla; Soricidae.